This is an RNA transcript of Fragaria vesca subsp. vesca, 1108 nucleotides long. It is a transcript of the gene named auxin-induced protein 5NG4-like, with no coding region annotated. The record is from RefSeq and is a predicted model, not a curated record. Lineage: Eukaryota; Viridiplantae; Streptophyta; Magnoliopsida; Rosales; Rosaceae. The transcript has 5 exons.
UGAUCGCCAGAAGGAAAGGAAGAGUAUGGCCAUUUCAUUAAGAUUUGAAAUAACUAUAAAACUAUGCAAGUUGUCUGAAGGGCCCUGACUGCCAGAAGAAGAGGAAGAAUAUAACAAUUUCAUAUGAUACACCAACCAUUUUAUUAAUUAAGAUUUUAAAUAACUAUAAACUAUGACCUCCAAAACUUAAACCAGAAAGCAAAGAAGCUAUAAACAAAGACCAUAUUGUUCUUCAUGAGUUUACAUUAUAAUGUUGUGCUUGUAUCUGACUGUGAGAAUGAGAAAGAGGAGAUGGGAUGGAUGUCUGGUCACAACAGUGUUCUGCCAUUCACCACCAUGAUUAUAGUGGAGUGCGUCAACUUGGGGUCAGGUGUCUUCUUUAAGGCAGCUGCCCCAAGAGGGUUGAGCUACUAUGUUCUCAUUGUUUACUCUCAUGCAAUUGCCAUCUUUCGCAGAACCGGGCUUCCACCAUUCAAGCUCUCUCUCAUAUUUAACCUCUUCCUCCUCAGGAUAAUCGGGUUUUUGGGUAGUUUAUGUGGAUAUAAAGGUAUAGAAUACAGUUCACCGACUCUUGCAUGCUUCAGCUAUUGGGAACCUAUCUCCAGCUUUUAUCUUCAUACUUGCCAUAACCUUCAGUAUGGAAAAACUGAAUUGGAGAAGCAGAAGCACUCAAGCCAAAGUGAUGGGUACUCUAGUAGCAAUAUCAGGUGCAAUCGUAGUAGUGCUUUAUAAAGGCCCAACAAUUCUAUCACCUACAACUCCAUCCUUUCUCGGAAUUUCAGAAACGGAGUGGGUAAGCAGUGGCCUAUUACUUACUCUUGGAUACCUUCUCUUCUCUGUGUGGGCUAUCCUGCAGACCCAUAUCAUGAAGACAUACCCAGAUGAGCUAGUUCUCACCUUCCUAUACAACUUGCGUGGGACAAUUGUAUCAACACCAACAUGUAUCAUAGCGGAAAAAAACUUGAUUGCCUGGAAGCUAACAUCCGGUAUACCAUUGCUUGCCACACUAUAUACUCAGACUAUCCAUUCAUGUGUUAGCUUGAUAUACAAUGUUGGCUAGAACAUCUGUCCUGUGUUUAGGGGUCUGGUGGUUGUCUAAUGCUUUAGU